RNAcentral lists this ribosomal RNA (408 nucleotides) under uncultured bacterium. RNAcentral describes it as "partial 16S ribosomal RNA". It matches the Rfam family "Bacterial small subunit ribosomal RNA", at positions 28 to 526 of the family's 1533-position model. The record is from RNAcentral.
GACGAACGCUGGCGGCGUGCUUAACACAUGCAAGUCGAACGAAGUGGCGAACGGGUGAGUAACGCGUAAUCAACCUGCCCUUCAGAGGGGGACAACAGUGGGAAACGACUGCUAAUACCGCAUACUGAAGGAGGGGAGUGCGGCUGAUUAGCUAGUUGGAGGGGUACAGGCCCACCAAGGCGAUGAUCAGUAGCCGGUCUGAUCGGUUCACCGGCCCCAUUUGGACUCAGACACGGCCCAGACUCCUACGGGAUGCAGCAGUGAGGAAUCUUCCGCACUGGACGAAAGUCUGACGGAGCAACGCCGCGUGAGUGAUGACGGCCUUCGGGUUUUAAAGCUCUGUUAAUCGGGACGCGGUACCGGAAUAGAAAGCCACGGCUAACUACGUGCCAGCAGCCGCGGUAAUUC